CUGAGUUAUCAAACUCCCAACCCAUUGUGAACUCUACCUAAUCGUUGCUUCGGCGGGGAGGCCCUCAGCGGCCUCGCGCCCCCCUCGGGGAGGCACCCCCGAGCGUCCAAACUAUAGCAUACAUUGUCCUCUCUGAGUAGCUUAUAAAAAUGAAGUCA
Molecule: unclassified non-coding RNA, 158 nt
Filed under: soil metagenome
Description: partial internal transcribed spacer 1
Source: RNAcentral